Molecule: ribosomal RNA, 500 nt
Filed under: uncultured bacterium
Lineage: Bacteria
Description: partial 16S ribosomal RNA
Rfam family: Bacterial small subunit ribosomal RNA
Source: RNAcentral
AUUGAACGCUGGCGGCAUGCUUUACACAUGCAAGUCGAACGGUAACGCGGGGGCAACCCUGGCGACGAGUGGCGAACGGGUGAGUAAUACAUCGGAACAUGUCCUGAAGUGGGGGAUAGCCCGGCGAAAGCCGGAUUAAUACCGCAUACGCUCUGAGGAGGAAAGCGGGGGACCGAAAGGCCUCGCGCUAUUGGAGUGGCCGAUGUCGGAUUAGCUAGUUGGUGGGGUAAAGGCCCACCAAGGCGACGAUCCGUAGCUGGUCUGAGAGGAUGAUCAGCCACACUGGGACUGAGACACGGCCCAGACUCCUACGGGAGGCAGCAGUGGGGAAUUUUGGACAAUGGGGGCAACCCUGAUUCAGCCAUGCCGCGUGAGUGAAGAAGGCCUUCGGGUUGUAAAGCUCUUUCGGACGGAACGAAAUGGUUACGGUGAACAUCCGUGACUGAUGACGGUACUGUAAGAAGAAGCACCGGCUAACUACGUGCCAGCAGCCGCAGUAA